Molecule: long non-coding RNA, 848 nt
Organism: Pygocentrus nattereri (red-bellied piranha)
Lineage: Eukaryota; Metazoa; Chordata; Actinopteri; Characiformes; Serrasalmidae
Exons: 4
Source: RefSeq, a predicted model, not a curated record
AUUUGGGACACAGCCCCUGCCUGGUGGGCACUACUGCGGGAGCGCACAGAGCGGCGCAGAGCUGCCCGCCUCCUCCAUCACUGCAGCUGAGGGAAAGAGCGCGCGGUGCACUGUGGGAGGGACUUCCACAGGAUGAUGAUGAUGAUGAUGAUGAUGAUGCGAGCGGAAUAUUAACACACCCAUUCAGCUGAAAUGUGCAGUAACGGUCAGCCUGAUUUCCUCACCCAUAGCAGAUGCUUCAUCUCGUCCCAAGUCAGCGAGCAGCGGCUGCUGAGAUACAUGGUUGCCUGCAGCAAUUGUGAGCUCCAGGCAGUCUGGAACGACUGAGGUUUCUGGAAUAAUGGGAUGCUCUGAUGUCUCUGUUGCGGCCUGGGCCAAAGCGGCUGGAAAGAGGAAAAGAAAGACGGAUUUGAGCUCCAGCAGGACUCUGCGCGAUUCCUCCCUCUCACGCCGCUGGCGCUCGCGCUCCCAUGGCGACAGCAUGUCCACUGCCCCACCCCACUCGGUGUCCGAGUCAGACUCUGAGACAUACGCCUCCAGUUCCUGUUCAGCACACACAAAUCCUGUUUAUCUCACCUAAAAUCAUCUCCAUCACCAAAUGCAUUUUCUCAUGCACAGCAUGGCUUAUUCAGCAACAACAAACUGCACUCAAUUACUAAAUUCUUCUCUUUCAUUCAUUCUCCAUCCCUCUACCCAUUUACACUAGAGAAGGCACUGGUCUAGUACCAGGUAUCACCAUCAGGUCAAUAUAAGCAGAAAGUGCUAAAUUCAGCAUAAUAGUCUACUUUUAGAUGCUAAUCUUGAGUGAUCUGCUUCACUUAAAAUAAAGUUUAUUAGUUUUUAAAGAA